This 361-nucleotide ribosomal RNA is filed under the name uncultured bacterium. Its description in RNAcentral is "partial 16S ribosomal RNA". It matches the Rfam family "Bacterial small subunit ribosomal RNA", at positions 338 to 697 of the family's 1533-position model. The record is from RNAcentral.
CCUACGAGAGGCAGCAGUGAGGAAUAUUGGUCAAUGGCCGGAAGGCUGAACCAGCCAAGUCGCGUGAGGGACGCAUGCCCUGUGUGUUGUAAACCUCUUUUAUAAGGGUAGAAUAAAUGCUACGUGUAUCAUGAUGCCUGUACCUUAUGAAUAAGCAUCGGCUAACUCCGUGCCAGCAGCCGCGGUACUACGGAGGAUGCGAGCGUUAUCCGGUUUUAUUGGGUUUAAAGGGUGCGUAGGCGGUUUUUUAAGUUAGUGGUUAAACGUCGGGGCUUAACCUUGAUUUGCCAUUAAUACUGUUAGACUAGAGUUCAGACGAGGUAGGCGGAAUAAGUUAAGUAGCGGUGAAAUGCUUAGAUAU